This is an RNA transcript of Ochotona princeps (American pika), 2352 nucleotides long. It is a transcript of the gene named glutathione S-transferase C-terminal domain containing, with no coding region annotated. Lineage: Eukaryota; Metazoa; Chordata; Mammalia; Lagomorpha; Ochotonidae. The transcript has 14 exons. The record is from RefSeq and is a predicted model, not a curated record.
UCCAGAGGGGAGAUUAUGGUUAUUCCUUUGUUCGCAUCAUGAAAUAAAAUUUGAGUACUGUUGGUUCUUGGGGACAUUAUGUCAGAGGAUAAGUACAAUGAAGAAAAGAAAGGUGACCCAAUGGAAGAAGAAAAUGAAAGGCAUUAAGAAAAGUCUUACAGAAGAGCAUCUCUAUCUGGACUUCUGUCACCAAGCAGGAGGACACAUCUUUCCUCUUCAUACGUCUGUAACUUUAUUUUUAUUGUCGUACUGUGACUGCAGCCUCUUUAAAGUUUGCUUCGUCCUUACCAAAGAAGGUACAGAAAGUUCACUGCUAAGAAAGGCACUGUCCCAGGAUGUUGAAAUACAGAUUCUUUCAAAGGAAGACCUUCCACCCAUAGUGCAGAGUUGCUGUUUACCUGCAGUGGUAGAGCAGCCUGACAGCUUCUGUAGGGCAGGCCUUGCCGUUGUACUGAGACACAUCAUUCAGAAAUCAUAUGAAGCAGAUCCCUCGAAGAAGGACAUCUUGGAACUUCUGGGUUUUAAAAAGACUUGCUUGAAAGCCUGUGCUGAAGUUAGUCAAUGGACCAGGCUGUGUGAACUCACCAUCCCUUUGGCUAUUGAGAAUUUUGUCAGAGAGUCUUCUGACCAGCCGCCAACUAUCCCUGCAGAAAUACUUGAGUUAGAAAGAAAGCUGAGUGAACCUGUUCGAGUGCAUAAUGACGAUAAGCUCAGGAGGCAGAAGCUGAAAGGACAGAAGGCCGCCGGCACUGGGCCUCCCCACGCUCAGGGAAAAGCGAAGAACAAGAGCCUCACAGGGGAGAUCUCUGAAGACUUGGACUCACCCAAGAGUCUGGAGCUCAGCGUGGCCUUCUCGAGGCUUGCAGUGCGGGAGGAGCCGGUGCCUGCCAGCAGGGAGCCUGCUCACAUUAGGAAAGCCAAGGCCUCGGACCUGCCGCCUCUGGAGCACGUGUUUGCCGAAGGCCUGUACUUCACCUUGUCAGAUAUCGUGCUCUUGCCCUGUAUCCAUCACUUCCUGGUAAUUAUCUGCAAGAAAUCUUCUGAGAAACUAGUACAGUUCCCUCUUCUAACCUCGUGGUACCAGCGGAUUCAGGAAGUUCCGAGAGUAAAAACAGCAGCUUCGAAAUGUGGGAUUGAGUUUCUGCAUCUACCAGAGUUGUUGACCACCUCAACGGAGCAGCAUCUAAACUCCAGUGAGGUCCAAGGUCAAGAGGAACCAAAUGAGCCUUUAUUUAUAGGAGGACCGAGACCAACUAUGACCAAGUUAAUGGAAAAAGGCAUCGAAGUGCUGUUUUCUCCCCACCCUUGUCCUACUUGGACCCUUGAUUGGAAUAUUCUUCCUGCAGCAGUGAGCCCAAAGGAAGGUAAGAUGUCCAGUGACCGAGCUCUGAGGAAGCAGCAGCAGUUAAACAAUCUGGUAUAUGUGGUCAUCAGUCAGGCUAAGCCGGGUGACAGGAUCGUGGAUUUCUGCAGCGGCGGGGGCCAUGUUGGAAUUGUCCUUGCUCAUAUGCUGCCAUUAUGCCAGGUCAUAUUAAUAGAAAACAAGGAAUUGUCAUUAAUUCGUGCUAAAAAGAGAAGUGACGACCUGGGUUUAAGCAACAUUUGGUUCAUUCAAGCAAAUAUGGAGUAUUUUACAGGGAUGUUUAAUAUUGGGGUGGCACUGCAUGCUUGUGGAGUGGCAACAGACAUGGUGAUUGACCAUUGUGUCAAAACACGGGCUUCCUUUGUCACAUGCCCUUGCUGUUAUGGUUUCAUUCAGAACACCUCAAAGUUUAAUUUUCCAAAAAGUGAACAAUUCAAGAAUACUUUAUCAUACAAGGAACACAUGAUUCUGUGCAGGUUUGCAGAUCAGACAGCUGUCCAGCUGCCACCUCAACGAAGACUCAUAGGGAAGCAGUGCAUGUGCCUGGUGGAUCUGGAUCGAGCAAGAGCUGCCGAAGAACAUGGCUAUUCCGUUCAAGUGAUCUCCAUGGAGCCAGAGAGCUGCUCUCCCAAAAAUAACAUGAUCGUUGGAGUCCCCAUGUAGCAUGAGACACUCACCUUUGAUGUUUUGCCAUCAGUCUUCACAGUGAAGCCCAGUAGCAUUCAUGAGGUUCUUGGCACAGCUAGGAAACAGUAUCAGCCUACUACAUUCAGGAAGGAAAGCAACAGGAAAAUGUGGGAAGACUGCCUGCAAAGCAUCACAAAUGCUCUUAGAACCUGUGGCUCAAGACGUCCUUUCCCAACCAGAGAAAAAGAAGACACUGCCGCCACCUAUCAGAUGAAUAUAGUGAACAAAGAAAGUACCUGCAGGAAGCCAACAAUAGGAAGCAUUGGCCAAAACUCAGAAGGCUGAGUGAAUGAGAGGCAGGU